CACAUUUUCAUUAUAUUCUCAGUCCUCAAGGUAAUUCUUAGAGAAACACAAUUCUGUGGAAAGCAUUGCCAAUAUUGUCCAUUUCCUGCUGUAAAACUUUACUUGGGGAUUUCAGUAGCUGCCUGCUCCAUUCCACAGGGAGGUUUAGAAAGAUAUAUGUUGAUGAUCAGUUCAGUCCUUCUGACAGUCCUACAGCACAGCCCAAGUCCUAUUAAUAAACCCCAUCAUCUUCUUCCCUCUGGAGACUUCUCAGAUGAUUCUGUUCAGAUACUUUCAGAAGGUGCUGUCUAUAGAGCACUUUUUAAGGAGCUUUCAUUAAGAUGAAAAUAGAAACCGUGCUAAAAUAAAACUUAAUCCGAAGAAAAACUGCUUCAAGUACGAUCAGUUACUGCUCACAAAUGAGGAAAGCUUCGAGUGGUUCAUUAUCGCUAUUAUCACCUUGUACUUGUUAGAAAAUGUUGCCCUCAUGUUUCCAAUUAUAGGAGUUGACUUUUAUCCGCGCUACAUAUUUGAUGUGAAUUUAUUUUUGAAUGUGUUUUGCUGACUGAAGAAAAGUGCUGACCGUUUAACUCGAGUGCAAGCUGUUGUCUUGAAAAUAAGACUGUUUGUCAGUUGUUUCUUAAAGGGAAAAAGGGCCCAAAUACUUUGCAAUCACAAACUUUUAAAUCAAGAGUUGUCAAAGGAAACAAGCCUCUGAUGUUGUUUUUAGAAAAGGGAGUUUGAGUCUACAAAAAAAAAAAAAAAGUUUAUUUUUAGAUUAGUAAAUGUGAUUAGUUCACUAAUAAUGUUCUGGCAUGAUAGAUAAACAUAAUGUAAUAUUUUUAAUAAUUGGUCCUCUCGUGGGGAUAUCAGGCCAUUAUUAGACAUUGUGGGGACAUUUGGUCGCACUUCCCACAAUAUAGUAUGAACAAGAACACACACACACACACACACACACACAAACACAAAAACACACAGUAAAUACACAUUAACAACCAAAUUCUACACAGCAUUACCGUAAAUACUCAAUCUUGAAAGUCACUGGUCACUGAAAAUAUGGAACUUUUUUAAGUGUCUCAUCAGAUUUAUGAUAUUCAUGACAUUGUUUUGUGUGUUUUGUUCUGCUUCAAUGUAGUUGUUUCAUGUGUGAUUUGGCUCCCCCUAUUUGCAAUUGCUCUGACAGGAAGUAAUUUGAUUUAGACCCAGUGAAAAGGAAGUGAAUUCAAUGUACAUCUUUAUGGGCUCAUUCUGAUCUGCUGCUGGUUUUAUCUUACCUGUAUUCUGUGAAGCCGAGUUCCAAGACUCUCCAAAUGUACUCAAUCAGGGACCAGAUUCUGCUGAACGACUCCUGCAGGAGGUGUCAAAGUGUGUGAAGUAGAGGAAUUAAGUCAGAAAUGAGUGCAGGCAAACUUUCAGACGCUUAGAGGCUUAAUCCUUCAAAAGGUGUCGCAAAGAGGUGAUGGGACUUCCAUCUCACUUUGUCUGCUGUGUCUUCAUGGUCUGGACUCGGCCUCCUACACAUCUGAACUCGGCCUGUGUGAUUUAGUUUGCCCUCCUCUUCACAUCUCACAAUGGUGAUCCAUCAGUGUUGUUGUGUUUCAACGAACGGAUACAGAGGUCCCGAGCGGCAUACUGUGAAUAAUUUGCAGAAGCCCAUUCACCACAAAAGUUCCCUUUCUAUGGAGCAACCGACUGUUUUCAGAUGACUCCUAUUCUCUGUUUCCAAACAGAGUAUAUUAAGAUAUUAAGUAUACAGUUGCAUUAAAAUGCAAUAAAAACCUUUCUGACUUUGACAACCCAAAUGUGUCCAGAAGACCUUUAAUGCAACACUUUUUGUUUCAAUUUUGAACAGUAUCCCUUGUAAAAAGAAGUGUGGUUAAUUGUACUGAAUGUGUACUUAAGGAGAGCACACUUUUCUUAACAUGCACUAAUAAAAUAA
This is a long non-coding RNA of Carassius gibelio (silver crucian carp), 1918 nucleotides long. RefSeq lists it as uncharacterized. NCBI's taxonomy places the organism in Eukaryota, Metazoa, Chordata, Actinopteri, Cypriniformes, Cyprinidae. The transcript is spliced from 3 exons. The record is from RefSeq and is a predicted model, not a curated record.